ACAAUAAUACUUCUCAAUGUUUCUUCUUAUGAUUGUCCGACAACAUCAAUCUGUAAACACAUUAAAUUCAAAAUAAAAAAUUUCUUCACACAGUAAAACCACAAAACACAAUAGACCACCAUUUAAUUCUGUUCGUAUAAAAUCUACCCUUACAACUAAAUGUACUUCUCUAUUUUUAGAUGACAUACAGCUUGCAUGGGAAGCAGACAGGGCAGAAGACAUUUCAAAUCUUUGUUCAUUACUUAUACCGUAUAGCGGUUUAUUUUUCGCGGUUAGAACAAAAUCCCAAAAACAAAUUCCACCAAGUGUACAUGCAAAGGUAUUGAUAAAAGUUUUGAAUUCAUCAAAAUAAUAACCGCCAAAAUAUAUUGUAUACCUUAUUCAAUGAAAAUCCCAAAAUUUUAAACCCCAGAAAAUAACCCGCUGUACAGUAUUCUCACAUUCUACGAUUUUUUCGUCACAAAUUAUAAUCUUACGAGAAAAACUGAUCAUUAGUCAUAAAUAUUCCAGUUAAUUUACAAUCAAUUUCAAUUUUAAUUGUAAGAUUUUUUGUGAAAAGAAUUGCUGAUUUUUAAUUAUGCAAACUGAACUUUUAACUGAUCAAAGGACAAUGCAUUGAUAUCAGUGAUUUACACUAACCUUUGGCAAUAUUAUCACAGUAAAAAAAGUAAACAAUAACUAUUUAAAUAAAAAGAUAAUAUUGUUAAAAUAU
This 712-nucleotide long non-coding RNA is filed under the name Mytilus galloprovincialis (Mediterranean mussel). The record is from RNAcentral. Lineage: Eukaryota; Metazoa; Mollusca; Bivalvia; Mytilida; Mytilidae.